GGGGGCGUAGCUCAGCUGGUUAGAGCGCCACACUGUCACUGUGGAGGUCACCGGUUCAAGUCCGGCCGUCCCCG
This 74-nucleotide transfer RNA is filed under the name Candidatus Spechtbacteria bacterium RIFCSPHIGHO2_01_FULL_43_30. RNAcentral describes it as "tRNA-Asp". It matches the Rfam family "tRNA". From Rfam's summary of the family: Transfer RNA (tRNA) molecules are approximately 80 nucleotides in length. Their secondary structure includes four short double-helical elements and three loops (D, anti-codon, and T loops). Further hydrogen bonds mediate the characteristic L-shaped molecular structure. tRNAs have two regions of fundamental functional importance: the anti-codon, which is responsible for specific mRNA codon recognition, and the 3' end, to which the tRNAs corresponding amino acid is attached (by aminoacyl-tRNA synthetases). tRNAs cope with the degeneracy of the genetic code in two manners: having more than one tRNA (with a specific anti-codon) for a particular amino acid; and 'wobble' base-pairing, i.e. permitting non-standard base-pairing at the 3rd anti-codon position. The record is from RNAcentral. RNAcentral also lists the same sequence under 1 other name. Lineage: Bacteria; Candidatus Spechtiibacteriota.